Molecule: ribosomal RNA, 403 nt
Filed under: uncultured bacterium
Lineage: Bacteria
Description: partial 16S ribosomal RNA
Rfam family: Bacterial small subunit ribosomal RNA
Source: RNAcentral
AUUGAACGCUGGCGGCAGGCCUAACACAUGCAAGUCGAGCGCGCGGCGGACGGGUGAGUAAUGUGUGUGGACUGCCCGAUAGAGGGGGAGAACUCUUGGAAACGCUAGCUAUUACCGCACACUAUCGGAUUACCCCUAUGGGAGUAGCUAGUAGGUGGGGUAAUGGCUCACCUAGGCGACGAUCCCUAGCUGGUCUGAGAGGAUGAUCAGCCACACUGGGACUGAGACACGGCCCAGACUCCUACGGAGGCAGCAGUGGGGAAUAUUGCACAAUGGGCGCAAGCCUGAUGCAGCCAUGCCGCGUGUAUGAAGAAGGCCCUAGGGUUGUAAAGUACUUUCAGUCGGGAGGCGUUACCCGCAGAAGAAGCACCGGCUAACUCCGUGCCAGCAGCCGCGGUAAUAC